RNAcentral lists this ribosomal RNA (754 nucleotides) under uncultured bacterium. Its description in RNAcentral is "bacterial SSU rRNA". It matches the Rfam family "Bacterial small subunit ribosomal RNA", at positions 8 to 796 of the family's 1533-position model. The record is from RNAcentral.
AGAGUUUGAUCCUGGCUCAGGAUGAACGCUGGCGGUCUGCUUAACACAUGCAAGUCGAACGGAGUAGAAAUACUUAGUGGCGGACGGGUGAGUAACGCGUGAGAAUCUGCCUUCAGGACGGAGACAACAGUUGGAAACGACUGCUAAGCCCCGAUGAACCGAAAGGGAAAAUAUUUAUAGCCUGAAGAUGAGCUCGCGUCCGAUUAGCUAGUUGGCGGAGUAAAAGCCCACCAAGGCGACGAUCGGUAGCUGGUCUGAGAGGACGAUCAGCCACACUGGGACUGAGACACGGCCCAGACUCCUACGGGAGGCAGCAGUGGGGAAUUUUCCGCAAUGGGCGAAAGCCUGACGGAGCAAGACCGCGUGGGGGAAGAAGGCUCUUGGGUUGUAAACCCCUUUUCUCUGGGAAGAAAGUUGUGAAAGCAACCUGACGGUACCAGAGGAAUCAGCAUCGGCUAACUCCGUGCCACAGCCGCGGUAAGACGGAGGAUGCAAGCGUUAUCCGGAAUGAUUGGGCGUAAAGCGUCCGCAGGUGGCAGUCCAAGUCUGCUGUCAAAGACCGGGGCUUAACUUCGGAAAGGCAGUGGAAACUGAACAGCUAGAGUAUGGUAGGGGCAGAGGGAAUUCCUGGUGUAGCGGUGAAAUGCGUAGAGAUCAGGAAGAACAUCGGUGGCGAAGGCGCUCUGCUGGACCAUAACUGACACUCAGGGACGAAAGCUAGGGGAGCGAAUGGGAUUAGAUACCCCAGUAGUCC